AUUGAACGCUGGCGGCAGGCCUAACACAUGCAAGUCGAGCGGAUGAAGGGAGCUUGCUCCUGGAUUCAGCGGCGGACGGGUGAGUAAUGCCUAGGAAUCUGCCUGGUAGUGGGGGAUAACGUCCGGAAACGGGCGCUAAUACCGCAUACGUCCUGAGGGAGAAAGUGGGGGAUCUUCGGACCUACGGCUAUCAGAUGAGCCUAGGUCGGAUUAGCUAGUUGGUGGGGUAAAGGCCUACCAAGGCGACGAUCCGUAACUGGUCUGAGAGGAUGAUCAGUCACACUGGAACUGAGACACGGUCCAGACUCCUACGGGAGGCAGCAGUGGGGAAUAUUGGACAAUGGGCGAAAGCCUGAUCCAGCCAUGCCGCGUGUGUGAAGAAGGUCUUCGGAUUGUAAAGCACUUUAAGUUGGGAGGAAGGGCAGUAAGUUAAUACCUUGCUGUUUUGACGUUACCAACAGAAUAAGCACCGGCUAACUUCGUG
RNAcentral lists this ribosomal RNA (484 nucleotides) under uncultured bacterium. RNAcentral's name for it is "partial 16S ribosomal RNA". It matches the Rfam family "Bacterial small subunit ribosomal RNA", at positions 30 to 507 of the family's 1533-position model. The record is from RNAcentral.